Molecule: long non-coding RNA, 825 nt
Organism: Culicoides brevitarsis
Lineage: Eukaryota; Metazoa; Arthropoda; Insecta; Diptera; Ceratopogonidae
Exons: 4
Source: RefSeq, a predicted model, not a curated record
CUCGUAAUAUUUGUAAACAAAAAAUUUUUAAAAAUAAUUUUAAAAGGAGAUUUUUUGAGUAAUUUUGGUUAAAAUUUUAAUUUUUACAAGUUUGUGAGGAAGUUAAAUUUACUAAAUUAUUAAAAAAUCUUUAAAUUUGAUCAAAACCUAACAUGUCUUCGAAGUCAUAAAAAAUGUUUCAAAUUCAAUAUCAGAUUGUAUCAGAAGAAGCACUUGAACAUCCCAUUCACGAGGAAAUAGUUUACGAGGAGCUUGACGAUGAUAUUCAAGAUGUCCCAAUUUCUGUAGUAGAAGUUCCUGCUGAAAUUCCUGUAAUUGUUCCUUGCCUUUCUGAUGUACAAACUUCCGAAAAUGUGGUUGAAGAGGCUUCGGAAGAAGAAAAUUCAGAUCAAGAUUUCUUCAAAAAAAAUUUUGAUGGCAAAAAAUUAGUUGUUAGCUUAACGGAUUUCAGAAAAAAUGAUCAUCGUUGUUUUAUUUGCAAGGCGAAAUUCUCAUCAAAAUAUAAUUGUGUGAAGCAUAUAACUUACGUUCAUCUAAUCGACGUGCAAAGACCAAAACACAAAUGCAAUGAAAAAGGCUGCGAUUUAUCUUUCGAUUUUAUAAGUCACUUGAAGGAACAUCAAAGAAAAUGUCACGAUUUUAGAAUCCAGUGCGAAAAAUGUGAAAAGUCUUUUAUGCAUAAAAAACAUUUGAAUUGGCACGUGAAGAAGAGACAUAAAUGACUGGAUCGAGAUUUGAGUUGAGUUGAAUUUAAAAAAAAUUUAUGAUUAACUUAAAAAAUUGUAAAAAAAUUGAAAUAAAAAUAAAUUAAAAAAAAUAAAUAAA